RNAcentral lists this long non-coding RNA (299 nucleotides) under Mytilus galloprovincialis (Mediterranean mussel). Lineage: Eukaryota; Metazoa; Mollusca; Bivalvia; Mytilida; Mytilidae. The record is from RNAcentral.
UAGAAUAACUAGAGGCUCUAAAGAGCCUGUGUCGCUCACCUUGGUCUAUGUGAAUAUUAAACAAAGGAAGCAGAUGGAUUCAUGACAAAAUUGUGUUUUGGUGAUGGUGAUGUGUUUGUUCAUCUUACUUUACUAAACAGUCUUGCUGCUUACAAUUAUAUCUAUCUAUAAUGAACUUGGCCCAGUAGUUUCAGUGAAAAAUGUUAAUAAGAAUUUACAAAUUUUAUGAAAAUUGUUAAAAAUUGACUAUAAAGGACAAUAACUCCUUAGGGGGUCAAUUGACCAUUUCGGUAAUGUUG